AUGGUUUAUUAUUUUCUUCUUUUCUUCAUUAUGGCUGUACGACGUCUCGGGCUGAUAAUGUUGUGCUUAUAUGAUCCUUGGACAAGAUUUGUCCCUUUAUGGAGUACUGAGUGCUAGGCCAAACCGCGGCAGCCUACAGGUCUCCUCUGACUCGCAGCAUCAGCCAUACAGGUUGUCCCAGGAGCUUUUCCUGUCAGCAGAUGGGGGGCUUCCCAGAGACUCUAAAGCUCCAAGGAUGGCAGUUGGGAAGUCAAUUGGAAGCAGACAGGCUGUUUACAUCUAGCAAUGACAUAGCCUGAUCACCAAGCCACCGAGGUCAUCAUGAGAGAAGCAUUUUGGACGACUUAAUGUUCUAGUGAUCCAGAGGGAGAUACGGCACACAGGAGAUCAUGAAGUUGAGAACCAAGCAAUUCCGUUUUCUAUCAUCAUUCAGUGAUUUCUACUCUAUUUUCUAACAAUCAACCUUUUGACAUAUGGAAGACAAGUAACUUGGCUUCCACAACUUGUAAAUCAAAGAGGAGAAGGAGAAGUGGCUAUGCCCGGAACAUUCCACCCCAAGAGAUUUGACACUGAUCCAAGAGCUGCCUGUUAAAAGCUAAGAUUUGUUGUAAGGUCACUCAAGAAAUGCAUCCUAAAACCAAUGUGAAGCGGCAUGGUGCUGCAUUGCUGUUCCAUGACCAAUUCCUGUCCACGCCGUGUAGUUUUAACUAUCUGGAAAGAUGUCUAAUGUACAGUAAGUAGUAUAUGCAAUCAGAUCUCUCCUACAGAUGGAGUGCAGUCAGGAAAAUAGACCUACUAGCUCUUCAUGCCAAAUAUUAUACAUCAUAGAAUUAAAAAAAAAAAAAAAAAAAAAAAAAAGCUCUUAUGUACUGUAUAUAUCCUUCAUUUAGUGCAAACUUUAAAAUUUUGACCACAUUCUGACACCUCAAACUCCCGUUUUCUGGAGAACAGAACCUCACCCUUCAACUCAGUAUACGUAUUAUUCUCAGGGUAUUGAAUCAAUCGCAAUUGGACUUUGAUGGUUGUCUUGGAAGAUGUUUUGCCUCUGGUGCAAGCUGUGUUUCCACACCAAAUCCCAGGCGAGUGUUGACCUAACUACACCUUAUUGCAUGAACUGAUGAAUCCUGCUCAAUGAGAGGUGAAACAUCAAGACAAGACAACCAGAAAAGUCCAGUUGUGAUCGAGCCAAGGCCCUGAAAAUGAAAUGAUCUGGAUGAAUGAGAAUAUUCACAAGCUUCUACAUGUCCUAAUUUCCUGAGUCAUGGGCUCAUCAGACCUACUUUUUCUUUCUUUCCUUUAUCUUACCCAAACAGGUGGUGUUAUGUUUCUUCGCUGUAAUUAAAAUAAUGCAAAUGGCUUAAUCCUGUAAGCGCAAUCCCUGUUUCUUUCUUAACAAAGAUUCACUUUCUAUGUAAUGAAAUUAGGUAGUUUUGCUCAAAUGAAGCCAGCAGAUUUCUUCCUUUCCCUCCAGAGAGGAAGAUAUGACGGUUAGUCACUGCGGUACAAAAAUGAUCCAAGAAAUUCAGUAGUUGAAGCACUGAAGGUAAAGAAUGUAUAAACUUUGUGGUGCAAUGGAUAUUUUAGCCAUUUGCAAUAUGUAUAUGCAAUCCACCACACUGCCGACUACAUGGUAAGAUUUUAAUUGCCAUCUUUUGGCGAGUAUAAUCAUAAUGCAAAUACGGUACUGUAGUUUUAGUUGGGUUGUUUUGUCAUGUACUUACUUUUGAAAACCAUCCAAAUAUAGAAAAAAAAACAGAAAAAGUCUGAAAACAGCAGGGAAAUGUCAUAUGAGUAAAAAUGAUAUUUCAGAGAAACUGAUUACAUGUGACGGGCACUAAAUGUGUUGCUAAACAACAAUGUGCUUCUUCGAAGUGUCAAAGCAUCUGACCUCCAUGUGAACAUCUGAUUGUGCAAAGUA
Corythoichthys intestinalis (scribbled pipefish) is the source of this 1918-nucleotide long non-coding RNA. RefSeq lists it as uncharacterized. The record is from RefSeq and is a predicted model, not a curated record. Lineage: Eukaryota; Metazoa; Chordata; Actinopteri; Syngnathiformes; Syngnathidae. The transcript is spliced from 4 exons.